This 863-nucleotide long non-coding RNA is filed under the name Mus spicilegus (steppe mouse). RNAcentral describes it as "lncRNA (ENSMSIG00000007683.1)". Lineage: Eukaryota; Metazoa; Chordata; Mammalia; Rodentia; Muridae. The record is from RNAcentral.
GACCAACACGAACACAGCUGGCAACAUUGUUUCUCCUUCUUGAGUUCCACUAAGAUGUCUUGGCUCUCUCUGAGAAAGGUGGCUUGCCAAUGACCAAAAGGCCUCAUGUUGCUGCAAUUGCUGGGAAAGACACUAAUGCUAAAGGAUUUCACUAUGGAUGACGUGUGGGCCACACUUACCAUUGAGGACCUCAGUAAUAAGAGAGGGAAGGUACCAGUGGUGGUUUAGAUUGAGGCAUCUGCUUCGAAUUAUUGUAAUUAUUUUGGUUUUCUUGCCUUUCAGCGUCCAGGCCUAAGAUUGCAAAGCCUGGAGUCGGUGGACUUAUGACUGACAGAUCAUCCUUCAUCCCAAGAUCCAAACAGGCACUCCGAUAAACACACUCAGAUGCUUCCAACUCGCAAUGGAGCCACAGGUACAGCAGCAACGGCAUCUUAAAUGAUCGUUCCUGUCUUCAGCAGCAGCAGCAGCAGCAACAGCAAAUGGAGGUGCAGGUACAGUUAAGCAAUCAUCUACAGCACUGGACUCCAAUGGUGAAGCUUGGCAUCUUCACAGAGCAGAGGACUGUGAUACCUGGAAGCAGACAUGGCAGGAGCUUUGAAGUGCUUUUAAAUUACUGGCUAAUGGAGCUUUCAGUGCCGUGGGCCACACUCUCCUCCUGUGAUCCGUCAUCUCCAGCAAGCAAACUGGCUCUGCUGCAACGUCAGCCUCACUAAUAUGGGACAGUAAGCCAAUUUUUCUAGAUUUCCCUGGUGCUGUUAGCAAUUUGGAUUUGUCUCUGAGAGAGGCUACACAAGGCUUAGAAUAUCAAUUUAAAUUCCUGAACUAAAAACCUGUAAUAAAAAUCUGACUUUCAAGUGCUUCCA